UGGGGGAUAUUGCACAAUGGGCGAAAGCCUGAUGCAGCGACGCCGCGUGGGGGAUGAAGGCCUUCGGGUUGUAAACUUCUUUUGCUCUGAACAAGGCGCACCAUGGGGUGUGUUGAGUGUAGGGGUUGAUUAGCGCCGGCUAACUACGUGCCAACAGCCGCGGUAAUACGUAGGGCGCGAGCGUUGUCCGGAAUUAUUGGGCGUAAAGGGCUUGUAGGUGGCUGGUUGCGUCUGUCGUGAAAGCUCAUGGCUUAACUGUGGGUUUGCGGUGGGUACGGGCUGGCUUGAGUGCAGUAGGGGAGGCUGGAAUUCCUGGUGUAGCGGUGGAAUGCGCAGAUAUCAGGAGGAAUACCGGUGGCGAAGGCGGGUCUCUGGGCUGUUACUGACACUGAGGAGCGAAAGCAUGGGGAGCGAACAGG
Molecule: ribosomal RNA, 419 nt
Filed under: bacterium
Lineage: Bacteria
Description: partial 16S ribosomal RNA
Rfam family: Bacterial small subunit ribosomal RNA
Source: RNAcentral